GUGGUUUGUCGCGUCGUUUGUGUAAGCCCGCAGCUUAACUGCGGGACUGCAGGCGAUACGGGCAUAACUUGAGUGCUGUAGGGGAGACUGGAAUUCCUGGUGUAGCGGUGGAAUGCGCAGAUAUCAGGAGGAACACCGAUGGCGAAGGCAGGUCUCUGGGCAGUAACUGACGCUGAGGAGCGAAAGCAUGGGGAGCGAACAGGAUUAGAUACCCUGGUAGUCCAUGCCGUAAACGGUGGGCGCUAGGUGUGAGUCCCUUCCACGGGGUUCGUGCCGUAGCUAACGCAUUAAGCGCCCCGCCUGGGGAGUACGGCCGCAAGGCUAAAACUCAAAGGAAUUGACGGGGGCCCGCACAAGCGGCGGAGCAUGUGGAUUAAUUCGAUGCAACGCGAAGAACCUUACCUGGGCUUGACAUACACCAGACCGCUGCAGAGAUGUAGCUUCCCUUUGUGGUUGGUGUACAGGUGGUGCAUGGUUGUCGUCAGCUCGUGUCGUGAGAUGUUGGGUUAAGUCCCGCAACGAGCGCAACCCUUGUCUUAUGUUGCCAGCAAUUCGGUUGGGGACUCAUGAGAGACUGCCGGGGUUAACUCGGAGGAAGGUGGGGAUGACGUCAAGUCAUCAUGCCCCUUAUGUCCAGGGCUUCACACAUGCUACAAUGGUCGGUACAACGCGUCUUGCGAGCCUGUGAGGGUGUGCUAAUCGCUGAAAACCGGCCUUAGUUCGGAUUGGGGUCUGCAACUCGACCCCAUG
RNAcentral lists this ribosomal RNA (750 nucleotides) under uncultured bacterium. RNAcentral's name for it is "bacterial SSU rRNA". It matches the Rfam family "Bacterial small subunit ribosomal RNA", at positions 575 to 1322 of the family's 1533-position model. The record is from RNAcentral.